RNAcentral lists this ribosomal RNA (229 nucleotides) under uncultured bacterium. RNAcentral's name for it is "partial 16S ribosomal RNA". It matches the Rfam family "Bacterial small subunit ribosomal RNA", at positions 568 to 796 of the family's 1533-position model. The record is from RNAcentral.
CGCGUAGGCGGAAUAAUAAGUCAGUGGUGAAAUCCUGUGGCUCAACCACAGAACUGCCAUUGAUACUGUUAUUCUUGAAUAUAGUUGAGGUAGGCGGAAUGUGUAAUGUAGCGGUGAAAUGCUUAGAUAUUACACAGAACACCGAUUGCGAAGGCAGCUUGCUAAACCAUUAUUGACGCUGAGGCACGAAAGCGUGGGGAGCGAACAGGAUUAGAUACCCUGGUAGUCC